Molecule: ribosomal RNA, 236 nt
Filed under: uncultured bacterium
Lineage: Bacteria
Description: partial 16S ribosomal RNA
Rfam family: Bacterial small subunit ribosomal RNA
Source: RNAcentral
CGGGUGAGUAACGCGUAUGCAACCUACCUUCAACAGGGAGAUAGCCCGAAGAAAUUCGGAUUAAUACCCCAUAACACACUAAGACGGCAUCGUUUAAGUGUUAAAACUCAGGUGGUUGAAGAUGGGCAUGCGUAACAUUAGUUAGUUGGUAAGGUAAUGGCUUACCAAGACAAUGAUGUUUAGGGGUUCUAAAAGGAAGGUCCCCCACACUGGUACUGAGACACGGACCAGACUCC